This 931-nucleotide ribosomal RNA is filed under the name Didymocrea leucaenae. RNAcentral's name for it is "SSU rRNA". It matches the Rfam family "Eukaryotic small subunit ribosomal RNA", at positions 122 to 1056 of the family's 1831-position model. Lineage: Eukaryota; Fungi; Ascomycota; Dothideomycetes; Zopfiaceae. The record is from RNAcentral.
UGGAUAGUACCCUUACUUCCUGGGAUAACCCGUGGUAAUUCUAGAGCUUAAUACAUGCUAAAAACCCCGGACUUCGGGAGGGGUGUAUUUAUUAGAUAAAAAACCAAUGCCCUUCGGGGCUCCUUGGUGAUUCAUGAUAACUUCUCAGAUCGCAUGGCUUUACGCCGGCGACGGUUCAUUCAAAUUUCUGCCCUAUCAACUUUCGAUGGUAAGGUAGUGGCUUACCAUGGUUUCAACGGGUAACGGGGAAUUAGGGUUCGAUUCCGGAGAGGGAGCCGGAGGAACGGCUACCACAUCCAAGGAAGGCAGCAGGCGCGCAAAUUACCCAAUUCCGAUACGGAGAGGUAGUGACAAUAAAUACUGAUACAGGGCUCUUUUGGGUCUUGUAAUUGGAAUGAGUACAAUUUAAACCUCUUAACGAGGAACAAUUGGAGGGCAAGUCUGGUGCCAGCAGCCGCGGUAAUUCCAGCUCCAAUAGCGUAUAUUAAAGUUGUUGCAGUUAAAAAGCUCGUAGUUGAACCUUUGGCCUGGCUGGCAGGUCCGCCUCACCGCGUGCACUUGUCCGGCCGGGCCUUUUCUUCUGGAGAACCGCAUGCCCUUCACUGGGUGUGUUGGGGACCAGGACUUUUACUUUGAAAAAAUUAGAGUGUUCAAAGCAGGCCUUUGCUCGAAUACGUUAGCAUGGAAUAAUAGAAUAGGACGUGCGGUCCUAUUUUGUUGGUUUCUAGGACCGCCGUAAUGAUUAAUAGGGACAGUCGGGGGCAUCAGUAUUCAAUUGUCAGAGGUGAAAUUCUUGGAUUUAUUGAAGACUAACUACUGCGAAAGCAUUUGCCAAGGAUGUUUUCAUUAAUCAGUGAACGAAAGUUAGGGGAUCGAAGACGAUCAGAUACCGUCGUAGUCUUAACCAUAAACUAUGCCGACUAGGGAUCGG